UGGGUUGUGGCUCAGCGGUAGAGUGCUUACCUAGCAUGCGUGAGGCCCUGGGUUCGAUUCUCAGCAACACAU
This 72-nucleotide transfer RNA is filed under the name Marmota monax (woodchuck). It matches the Rfam family "tRNA". From Rfam's summary of the family: Transfer RNA (tRNA) molecules are approximately 80 nucleotides in length. Their secondary structure includes four short double-helical elements and three loops (D, anti-codon, and T loops). The record is from Rfam by way of RNAcentral. Lineage: Eukaryota; Metazoa; Chordata; Mammalia; Rodentia; Sciuridae.